UGCCUCAGAUACGGCGAGUGAGCGGCAAGAGCUCAAAUUUGAAAGCUGGCUCCUUCGGGGUCCGCAUUGUAAUUUGCAGAGGAUGCUUCGGGUGCGGCCCCUGUCUAAGUGCCCUGGAACGGGCCGUCAGAGAGGGUGAGAAUCCCGUCUGGGAUGGGGUGUCCGCGCCCGUGUGAAGCUCCUUCGACGAGUCGAGUUGUUUGGGAAUGCAGCUCUAAAUGGGUGGUAAAUUUCAUCUAAAGCUAAAUACUGGCCGGAGACCGAUAGCGCACAAGUAGAGUGAUCGAAAGAUGAAAAGCACUUUGAAAAGAGAGUUAAAAAGCACGUGAAAUUGUUGAAAGGGAAGCGCUUGCGACCAGACUCGCCUCCAGGGUUCAGCCGGCAUUCGUGCCGGUGUACUUCCCUGGGGGCGGGCCAGCGUCGGUUUGGGCGGCCGGUCAAAGGCUCCCGGAAUGUAGUGCCCUCCGGGGCACCUUAUAGCCGGGAGUGCAAUGCGGCCAGCCUGGACCGAGGAACGCGCUUCGGCACGGACGCUGGCAUAAUGGUCGUAAACGACCCGUCUUGAACCACGGACCA
RNAcentral lists this ribosomal RNA (576 nucleotides) under Aspergillus flavus. RNAcentral's name for it is "LSU rRNA". It matches the Rfam family "Eukaryotic large subunit ribosomal RNA", at positions 76 to 668 of the family's 3401-position model. Lineage: Eukaryota; Fungi; Ascomycota; Eurotiomycetes; Eurotiales; Aspergillaceae. The record is from RNAcentral.